RNAcentral lists this ribosomal RNA (495 nucleotides) under uncultured bacterium. RNAcentral's name for it is "bacterial SSU rRNA". It matches the Rfam family "Bacterial small subunit ribosomal RNA", at positions 29 to 534 of the family's 1533-position model. The record is from RNAcentral.
AACGAACGUUGGCGGCGUGGAUUAGGCAUGCAAGUCGAGCGAAUCCCAGCAAUGGGGGAAGCGGCGAAAGGGGCAGUAAGGCAUGGGUAACCUACCCUGGGGACUGGAAUAGCCCUUCGAGAGAAGGGGUAAUACCGGGCGACGAGCAGACAGGGCAUCCUGUUUUCUCCAAAUGAGUUUUCGCCCUGGGAGGGGCCCAUGUGAUAUUAGCUAGUUGGUGAGGUAACGGCUCACCAAGGCGAAGAUGUCUAGCGGGUGUGAGAGCACGACCCGCGCCAUUGGCACUGAGAUACUGGCCAAACACCUACGGGUGGCUGCAGUCGAGGAUCUUCGGCAAUGAGCGCAAGCUUGACCGAGCGACGCCGCGUGUGCGAUGAAGGCCUUCGGUUGUAAGCACUGUCGAGAGGGAGGAAAGGGAAACGUUAGAUCUAUCUCUGGAGGAGCGACGGGCGUAAGUUCGUGUCCACGCAGCCGGCCGGUAAGAGUCACGUGUAC